RNAcentral lists this unclassified non-coding RNA (302 nucleotides) under uncultured fungus. RNAcentral describes it as "partial contains 5.8S ribosomal RNA, internal transcribed spacer 2, and large subunit ribosomal RNA". The stretch from base 1 to 52 matches the Rfam family "5.8S ribosomal RNA", at positions 103 to 154 of the family's 154-position model. Lineage: Eukaryota; Fungi. The record is from RNAcentral.
AACGCACCUUGCGCUCUCUGGUAUUCCGGAGAGCAUGUCUGUUUGAGUGUCAUGAACUCUUCAACCCACCAGUUUCUAGUAGACUGUUUGUGGUGUUUGGAUCUUGAGCGCUGCUAGUCUGACUAGCUCGUUCGUAAUACAUUAGCAUCUCUAAUUCGAAUUCGGAUUGACUCAGUGUAAUAGACUAUUCGCUGAGGACACUAUUGAUUUAGUGGCCGUACUAGAACCAGUAGAAGCUUCAAACUACUUUAGUCAACUUUGAUUUAGACCUCAGAUCAGGCAGGAUUACCCGCUGAACUUAA